AUAAACGCACCGAUUCUCGUUCGAUCACUGAAGCUAAGCAUUUUAUUGCCAGGUCUGUACUUAGAUGGGGUCCACCUGGGAACACCUG
Molecule: non-coding RNA, 88 nt
Organism: Acanthosepion pharaonis
Lineage: Eukaryota; Metazoa; Mollusca; Cephalopoda; Sepiida; Sepiidae
Source: the annotation of a GenBank genome assembly